GGUGAGUUAGAUGUUGGUUGGGUCGCGGUACAUGGGGAUGCUGGUCGAGGAAAGGCCUCAAUGCCCCCCACAUUCAUAGCUGAGCUUGACCCUUUGGACUCUUUCGAGGAGGCAUAUAUUAUGCUUGGAAUGCACAUCAAGGCUGCUGAUAUGGCACUCCAAGAUCAUCGACUCAUCGGGGAGUUGAUGAAGAUGGUGAUGCUCCCUGUCGAUUGAGAAGAAAGGAAGGUCCGUCCAGUCGAAAAAAUUAUAUUGGGUUCUUAGGCAUCAUUAGUGUCGGUAAGUCUGGGUGUCUAUUUUCUUGAUGUUCAACUGUCAAUUCUUUUUCCAAAUUAUUGACUUAAUGAAUUUUUUUGUCUUGUAGCUGGUACAUGAUGCGACUAUUAUGUUUGAGAGGUUGACUACUUUCAGGUGGCUCAACCACCAACUAGAAGAUGAGGCCCAGAUCAUCAAUGCCAGGGCCGAAGUAGCUGAGAAACUUCUCCACAUUGCUGAAGAGUGGAAGAAAAAAUAUCAAAACAAGAUUUUCCUAUUGGAGGUUGAGCUAGCUCCUUCUUGAAAAAAGGCUGUCGACCUGGAGUCUCAGCUGGAAAAGAAAGAGGAGGAACUGAAAGAGUUGAAGAAGCAGAAGGCCGAUUUCGAGAAGGAGACGGAGUUGGCAAAAGCUGCCCU
RNAcentral lists this long non-coding RNA (672 nucleotides) under Elaeis guineensis (African oil palm). RNAcentral's name for it is "long non-coding RNA (EGUI_LNC009496)". Lineage: Eukaryota; Viridiplantae; Streptophyta; Magnoliopsida; Arecales; Arecaceae. The record is from RNAcentral.